Homo sapiens (human) is the source of this 787-nucleotide long non-coding RNA. RefSeq annotates it as PATJ divergent transcript. Lineage: Eukaryota; Metazoa; Chordata; Mammalia; Primates; Hominidae. The record is from RefSeq and is marked validated. The transcript has a single exon.
CAGCGCGGACGCACGCCGCGGGCGCCCCAUCCUCGCCGCGGCCCCUCUGAGCGCCCGGCGGCGCCCUCCACCUCCGGCUCCCACCCACUCCAGGCGGGCGGGCGGGGAGAGCGCGGGGGCAGGGCAGGCAGGCCCGGGAAGCCCCGAGGGAGCUGCCCCCGGCCGGCCUCCAGGCGCGGGGACACCCAGGGGCGAGCGCGCACUGCACAGCCGGGACCUCACGCUUUACCUGGUGCGCUGGAGGAGCAGGUGGGAGCCCGGGUCGGGCGGGCUCGGUGUCGGCCCUGCCUCACCUGGGCGGAAGUGAGAGGCCCAGGGUGACCGCGCCUCACCUGGCAGGCCCUCCCCUCGCCCCGACUCUCCCCGCCCGGGGCGGGGCACCGGGGUGGCGCAGGGGGCGGGGGAGGGAGCCCGGGGCCGCGGGAGGCGGGCUCCAAGGAGGGAGGACGGUUGCCCUGGCUGUUUACGUGCAGGUGAAUUCCUACCGGGCGCGGGAUGGCCAAGGGCCUGGGAAAAGUGGGCUGUGGGGGCGGGGUGGCGGAUCAGACCGCGCGUGGUGGGGACAGCCGCCACUGACGGGGAGGGAGAUCCGGACAGACCGGUGUGGUUGGAGGCCUGCGUGUAGAGCGAGACCCAAGAUCAAGGAAAUUGAGGAGGAUAUCGAUGAAAGCGUUGGGUCAAUCCGCUUAACACUUUGUCUUUUUGCCCCUUUCCUUUCCUGUUCUCUCAUCCCUCCUUUGUUUUCUCUAUUCGCUGACGCAAAAUAAAAUAUUCUAAAACGUGUAAA